ACAUACGGCCAUAGUACCCUGAGAAAUGUCGAUCCCGUCCGAUCUCGUCAACAUAAGCAGGAUAACGGCAGAUUAGUAGUUGGGUCGGUGACGACCAGCGAACACCGGCUGCUGUAUGUA
Molecule: ribosomal RNA, 120 nt
Organism: Ophiocordyceps sinensis CO18
Lineage: Eukaryota; Fungi; Ascomycota; Sordariomycetes; Hypocreales; Ophiocordycipitaceae
Source: Rfam